Molecule: ribosomal RNA, 706 nt
Filed under: uncultured Actinomycetes bacterium
Lineage: Bacteria; Bacillati; Actinomycetota; Actinomycetes
Description: bacterial SSU rRNA
Rfam family: Bacterial small subunit ribosomal RNA
Source: RNAcentral
GACGAACGCUGGCGGCGUGCUUAACACAUGCAAGUCGAACGGUAAGGCCCUUCGGGGUACACGAGUGGCGAACGGGUGAGUAACACGUGGGUGAUCUGCCCUGCACUUUGGGAUAAGCCUGGGAAACUGGGUCUAAUACCGAAUACACCUUGCUGGCUGCAUGGCCUGGUGGGGGAAAGCUUUUGCGGUGUGGGAUGGGCCCGCGGCCUAUCAGCUUGUUGGUGGGGUGAUGGCCUACCAAGGCGACGACGGGUAGCCGGCCUGAGAGGGUGUCCGGCCACACUGGGACUGAGAUACGGCCCAGACUCCUACGGGAGGCAGCAGUGGGGAAUAUUGCACAAUGGGCGCAAGCCUGAUGCAGCGACGCCGCGUGGGGGAUGACGGCCUUCGGGUUGUAAACCUCUUUCAGUACAGACGAAGCGUAAGUGACGGUAUGUACAGAAGAAGCACCGGCCAACUACGUGCCAGCAGCCGCGGUAAUACGUAGGGUGCGAGCGUUGUCCGGAAUUACUGGGCGUAAAGAGCUCGUAGGUGGUUUGUCGCGUUGUUCGUGAAAACCGGAGGCUCAACCUCUGGCGUGCGGGCGAUACGGGCAGACUUGAGUACUGCAGGGGAGACUGGAAUUCCUGGUGUAGCGGUGGAAUGCGCAGAUAUCAGGAGGAACACCGGUGGCGAAGGCGGGUCUCUGGGCAGUAACUGACGCUGA